Molecule: ribosomal RNA, 467 nt
Filed under: uncultured bacterium
Lineage: Bacteria
Description: partial 16S ribosomal RNA
Rfam family: Bacterial small subunit ribosomal RNA
Source: RNAcentral
GACGAACGCUGGCGGCGUGCUUAACACAUGCAAGUCGAACGGAAAGGCCCUGCUUUUGUGGGUGCUCGAGUGGCGAACGGGUGAGUAACACGUGAGUAACCUGCCCUUGACUUUGGGAUAACUUCAGGAAACUGGGGCUAAUACCGGAUAGGAGCUCCUGCUGCAUGGUGGGGGUUGGAAAGUUUCGGCGGUUGGGGAUGGACUCGCGGCUUAUCAGCUUGUUGGUGGGGUAGUGGCUUACCAAGGCUUUGACGGGUAGCCGGCCUGAGAGGGUGACCGGCCACAUUGGGACUGAGAUACGGCCCAGACUCCUACGGGAGGCAGCAGUGGGGAAUAUUGCACAAUGGGCGGAAGCCUGAUGCAGCAACGCCGCGUGCGGGAUGACGGCCUUCGGGUUGUAAACCGCUUUCGCCUGUGACGAGGCGUGAGUGACGGUAAUGGGUAAAGAAGCACCGGCUAACUACGUG